GUCCACGCCGUAAACGAUGUCUACUAGCCGUUGGGUUCCUUGAGGACUUAGUGGCGCAGCUAACGCAAUAAGUAGACCGCCUGGGGAGUACGGUCGCAAGAUUAAAACUCAAAUGAAUUGACGGGGGCCCGCACAAGCGGUGGAGCAUGUGGUUUAAUUCGACGCAACGCGAAGAACCUUACCAGGUCUUGACAUCCAGAGAACUUUCCAGAGAUGGAUUGGUGCCUUCGGGAACUCUGAGACAGGUGCUGCAUGGCUGUCGU
Molecule: ribosomal RNA, 263 nt
Filed under: uncultured bacterium
Lineage: Bacteria
Description: partial 16S ribosomal RNA
Rfam family: Bacterial small subunit ribosomal RNA
Source: RNAcentral